GACGAACGCUGGCGGCGUGCUUAACACAUGCAAGUCGAACGGGCCCGCUCUCUUUUUUGGGGGUGGGUUGAGUGGCGAACGGGUGAGUAUCACGUGAGUAACCUGCCCCCUGCUCCUGGAUAACUGCUUGAAAGGGCGGCUAAUACGGGGUGUGCCGGCUGGUCCGCAUGGGCCUGGUCGGGAUAGUUUCAUCUUCGGGUGUUUCGGUGGGGGAUGGGCUCGCGGCCUAUCAGCUUGUUGGUGGGGUGAUGGCCCACCAAGGCGGUGACGGGUAGCCGGCCUGGGAGGGUGGGCGGCCACACUGGGACUGAGACACGGCCCAGACGCCUGCGGGAGGCAGCAGUGGGGGGUAUUGCACAAUGGGCGGAAGCCUGAUGCAGCGACGUCGCGUGAGGGAUGGAGGCCUUCGGGUUGUGAACCUCUUUCUCCGGUGGUGAAGGCCCUGUCCGUUGCGGCGGGGUUGACGGUAGCCGGGUAUGAAGCGCCGGCUAACUACGUG
RNAcentral lists this ribosomal RNA (499 nucleotides) under uncultured bacterium. RNAcentral's name for it is "partial 16S ribosomal RNA". It matches the Rfam family "Bacterial small subunit ribosomal RNA", at positions 28 to 507 of the family's 1533-position model. The record is from RNAcentral.